AUUUUCACAACAUUCUUGUGAGGCAGAUGAGCAUGAAAGAUUUUAUCUUAUCCCAAGGUCAUCCUGUGAGUUGUUUGGCUCAUUGGAGCCUGAAACCUGGAUUUCUCAAGUUCCCAGAGCGUCACCUAUGAUGAGGUCAUCUGAAAAUGGUAGAAAGCUGGUCCCCAUGAAGUUGUGGACCAGCUUUUUAUUAUCAUGUUUAUUAUGGGGCUGAAUAUCUCUUAGAAAAUGGACCAGACGGAAGCCUAUUGUUGAAACUUGGCAUUUUUUCGUUUGAUGUAAUGAAUGCUGCUGGCAAUAAGCCCUGAAGCAAACUGAAACUUCCUUGCAACCUUUAGCAAUAUGACUUGACAGAACUACUUUGAUAAUAAAGGAGCUUGUCUUGUUGAGUAUCAGCUCUACAGAAUGGCCUUGUGCAUUUUCUGAGGCAAAGCAAAUGGGUCAGUUAAAAGGCUAAAAAAAAAGCAUCUGUAAUUGAGAAACAGCUUCCUUGUCCUUAGUUUUAUUUAGAGCCCAGGCUACCCCAGCUAUAGAUCUUAAGGUGAGGUAGAUUCUUUGACGAUAAAGAAUGGGUGGUUGUUGCACCUGAAGAAGUAAUUGUUCCUUUAGAAGCAAGAGAAAAGUUACCAAAUCUUAUUAAACUAGCCUUUUUCGGUGAAAAAUGAGAAGUUUUUGAAAUUCUCUAUUGUUGAAUAAAUGUCUUUGAGGUUGCCUUAUUAAUGGCCUUUCAGCAGGUUUUCAUUUCCAGGCGCAGACAAUGGAAUAUUAUUUUCGGCUAAAUGGCUUGCUUUGCCCUUGCCCUGCCCUCCAGCUUCACUCCCUCCCAUCCUGUGGGGGAAAAUGUUGUCAUCUUUGUCUCUGAAGCAGGGCUGUUUCCCAAGUGUGCACAGAUCUGUAUGGUGUAAAGAUUUUCUUCUGUUCUUCUGGCUCUUCAGAAGCUGAUUUCCCCAUUUGUGAGUGAUUCGUUGCUUGACUCUACUAUCUUAUGAUGUGUGACUAUACUGUAUGGUAUUUUGAUAUGUUUUGAUUUUAAAGAUGUAUUUUACAUAAGAAAAUGUGUCUGUGAUGUCAUAGUUUUAAACGGUCCUUGUCAAUUUUUUAGGUCAAUGAAACAAAACAAUAUAAAGGAACAAUAUAAAGGAUAGUUUAUUGAAAGCAUCCUUUUAACUAGAUGUUUGGGGACAAAACUGCCCAUUCUUUGCUUAUGUUCACUGAUAAUAUGGGCCAGAAUGGUGUGGUUUCAGGAUAAUUAACUGGAAGUGUAAGAAUGCAGACAUCAUUGUCCUAUGUUUUCUUUGACAAAAGAUAAGCCUAGCUUUAUUUGUGUUAUACUCACAAGGGCUCUCCCUUCUGUUAGGCAGUAGAGGCCUGAAGUGAUAUCAGAUGCCUCCUUGGCCAUUACCCCUCAGCAUCUUUUCCAUCUUUUGGAGGACAGAGCUGUAUGCGUGUCUCUCCCAUAGCUUGUCCCAUUGUACUUUCUGAACUAGCCACCUUUGGGUGUGGUGAAGGCCACCAGUCCUUCAUCUGUGUAGGAGUCAAAUUCACUUGCCAUAUCUAGCCCUGUUUGGUUCUGUACAAAGAAGAGGAGGGAAGGGCAGGAUGCUGUACUGUACAUGACUUAAAGUUGCAAAAUACUUCGGGCCAGCUGUUAACCUUUCUUAAAGAAGAGGAGGGAAGGGCAGGAUGCUGUAUAUGGCCUAAAGUUGCAAAAUACUUUGGGCCAGCUGUUAACCUUUCUUCUUUUCUCCCUUGCUCCUUUUCAUUAAACA
Molecule: long non-coding RNA, 1769 nt
Filed under: Pogona vitticeps (central bearded dragon)
Lineage: Eukaryota; Metazoa; Chordata; Lepidosauria; Squamata; Agamidae
Description: lncRNA (ENSPVIG00000011993.1)
Source: RNAcentral